CGAUAGGUUUUUUUUGAAACCAUAUCAAAUUCAGAUCAAACACGAAU
Non-coding RNA from Atta colombica, 47 nucleotides. The record is from Rfam. NCBI's taxonomy places the organism in Eukaryota, Metazoa, Arthropoda, Insecta, Hymenoptera, Formicidae.